Molecule: ribosomal RNA, 496 nt
Filed under: uncultured bacterium
Lineage: Bacteria
Description: partial 16S ribosomal RNA
Rfam family: Bacterial small subunit ribosomal RNA
Source: RNAcentral
AUGAACGCUGGCGGCGUGCCUAAUACAUGCAAGUCGAGCGAACAGAUGAGGAGCUUGCUCCUCUGACGUUAGCGGCGGACGGGUAAGUAACACGUGGAUAACCUACCUAUAAGACUGGGAUAACUUCGGGAAACCGGAGCUAAUACCGGAUAAUAUAUUGAACCGCAUGGUUCAAUAGUGAAAGACGGUUUUGCUGUCACUUAUAGAUGGAUCCGCGCCGCAUUAGCUAGUUGGUAAGGUAACGGCUUACCAAGGCAACGAUGCGUAGCCGACCUGAGAGGGUGAUCGGCCACACUGGAACUGAGACACGGUCCAGACUCCUACGGGAGGCAGCAGUAGGGAAUCUUCCGCAAUGGGCGAAAGCCUGACGGAGCAACGCCGCGUGAGUGAUGAAGGUCUUCGGAUCGUAAAACUCUGUUAUUAGGGAAGAACAAAUGUGUAAGUAACUAUGCACGUCUUGACGGUACCUAAUCAGAAAGCCACGGCUAACUACGUG